RNAcentral lists this ribosomal RNA (338 nucleotides) under Oxyrrhis marina. Its description in RNAcentral is "partial Bacterial large subunit ribosomal RNA". It matches the Rfam family "Bacterial large subunit ribosomal RNA", at positions 328 to 676 of the family's 2925-position model. Lineage: Eukaryota; Dinophyceae; Oxyrrhinales; Oxyrrhinaceae. The record is from RNAcentral.
GGUAGGAGAAGGCUCUGGAAAGUGCCGCCAUAGUGGGUGAUAGCCCCGUAUCCGAAACCUGAGUCUGGUGAAAUCGAGUAGGACGGGACACGUGAUAUCCUGUCUGAACAUGGGGGGACCAUCCUCCAAGGCUAAAUACUCCUGACUGACCGAUAGUGAACCAGUACCGUGAGGGAAAGGCGAAAAGAACCCCGGUGAGGGGAGUGAAAUAGAUCCUGAAACCGUAUGCAUACAAACAGUGGGAGCGGACUUGUUCCGUGACUGCGUACCUUUUGUAUAAUGGGUCAGCGACUUACAUUCAGUAGCAAGGUUAACCGCAUAGGGGAGCCGUAGAGAAA